Prunus avium (sweet cherry) is the source of this 4038-nucleotide non-coding RNA. The record is from RefSeq and is a predicted model, not a curated record. NCBI's taxonomy places the organism in Eukaryota, Viridiplantae, Streptophyta, Magnoliopsida, Rosales, Rosaceae.
UAAAAAAAAGAAAAAAAAAGAAAAAAGUUGGAUUCCUAAGUUUUUAGCAGAAGCUCUGUUCCUGUUGAAAUUUUGUAAAUGGGUAUCAAGGGAGAGAGCCUCAACUUUUCCAUAAGCAGCUUUGAUACUGAAAAGACACCCAAAAAUCCCUGCUUCUGCUUCUGCUUCUCGUUGAAAACAGUAGUAGACCCAAUUUCCACCACCACAAGUCAAAACUGAAAUCCGAUUGAGUUGCAUGCAGCUCCUCAAACUCCUGUGAUCAGAUUCAGAUGAGUGAGUUGGUAGUUGGUAGUUGGUAGUUGCUAUGCUAAGUUGACAGCAAACAAACCCAGCAACCCAGCAACCCAGCUUCACUUCAUCCAUCACUAAUAAUUAAUUAAUUAAUUCUCAAAGCACGAUCAGCACAAGCAGGCACCGGUGAUGUGGCCAUCCGCACAUCUCCUACUACCAGCAGCAGCUGCAGCAGCCCCAGUGCUUUACAGAUUUUAUAAGUAUUUGAGACCUGAAGUCAUCAGGGUUCCCCAAAAUCCUCCGGAACUGUCUGAUCUUGAUCUUGCCAUCCUUGAAGAGAUUCGGAAACUCGGCCCCGCCCUCCUUGAUAAGAUUCUCAAGGACCCCACUCUCCUUGAUGAGUUUCGGAAAAUCGACCCCGCCAUCCUCCAAGAGUUUCGGAAACUCGAUCCUGCCAUCAUUGGCAAGAUACUUCAAUCCUGUUUGAAAGACAACAAGGAAGGUGAAGAAGAGGCGGACAGGAGUAGUUGUAGUGGGCGCGAAACUGCAAAACAAAACGAAAAUGGAAACGAAGAGACGGAUGGAGGAGGAGGAGAAAGUAAGAAUGAGAAUGGCGUUGAGGUGGAGAAGAAGGUUGUUGAUGAAGAAAGAAGCAGAAGCCAGCAUUACCCAGUGAGGCCUGGAGCUGUAGAAGGAAAAACAGGAAGGAAAAACAAGAAAACCAAUCAGGUGUCGAAGGACAAGAUGAAGGAAAGGGAAGGGUUGGCAGCAGAGAAGCCAGGCCAGACAGAAUGCAAGGAUUAUUCCAGGUCAGGAGGACGUAAAUAUGGAAAAGUUUGUAGUUUAAAUCCCGGAAAAGGGGAACCUUCUGUAGCUCCAAUUCUAGAAUGUAACUUUCUGGGCCUGCCAAUUCGGCCGGGGGAGAAAGACUGUUCCUUCUAUAUGCGAAAUGGCUCCUGCAUGUUUGGUACAAACUGCAAGUUUAAUCACCCUGAUCCUACAGCUGCAAGAGAAUCUGACCCCCCAUCUGGAUAUGGUAAUGGCAGAUCUGCAUCAUUACAAGGUGCAUCGUCAUCAACAGCAGCACCAUGGUCUGCACCAAGAUCAUUGAAUGAUGCUCCGCUUUAUGUGCCAAUGGUGAUUCCACAUGUUCAGAUAGGAAGCUGGGGUAAUGCAGGUGGGGCUUGGGCCCAAUCAGAGGCAGGAAACAAAGAUGAAGCAAGUGGCUGGACAAAACCUGCUUUUAAUAAUGAGAAUCAGAAUGACAGUUGGAAGAAACCAAGUGGUAUAGAUGACAAUAAAAGAGCUUCCUGGGGUAAAGCAGAUGGAGGUUCUACUUGGACUAAACAAGAUGGAGAUCCUAUAUGGAAUAAACAAGGUGAAGGUUCUACUUGGAAUAAACAAGAUGGCAGUUCUGCUUGGAAUAAACCAGCAGGAGAUUCUUCUUGGAGUAAACAAGCUGGAGGGUCUUCAUGGGGUAAACGAGCUGAUGUAACAGCAGGACAUUUGUCUGGCGAAGUGGGGAAUCAAGAUAAUGGUUGGAAGAGAGCAAGUUCUUUUGGUGGCAGUCAAUCAAUAGAUGGUGGGAAUGGAGACCAACCUGAGGAUUUCAAUAAUAAUCAAAGUGGUGGGAAUUGGAGAGGUGGUUCAGGUAGAGGAAAUUCAGACAAAGGAGGUUUUAGAGGUGGACGGGGUUUUGUAGGUAUAGGUGGUGAUAGAGAGGAGGAUAGAGGGGGUUUUGGACGUAGAUGGGGUUUUGGUGGUAGAGGUGGAGACAGAGGGAGCUUUGGUGGUAGAGGUAAAUCAGACAAAGGAAGGUUUGGUGGUAGAGGCUAUGGAGGAAGAGGCCAUGGGAGGGAUCAAAGUGGUGGUUGGAGCAAUAGAAAUGAAUCUAUUGAUAAUAACUCAUCAGGCUGGAGCAAAGGGGCAGACGGUGCUGGCGAGGGAUGGAAAAAGAGUGGAGGAAGUUGGAACCAAGGAGGUGGCAGUAAGAACGAUUGGCAGGGUAGGAACUCUAGUGGAUGGAGUAGCCAGAGCUCCGGUUGGAACCAGUCUGAUGUGACUAAAAGAAUUGGUGGUUUGGGAUCAGGUUGGAAUCAGACAGUGGAGGCUAAAUAUACUGCUGGCACUCAGGACAAAGGAACAGGUUCUCAUAAUGAAGUGGGCAGAAACUGGGGAAACAAUUGGAAAUCAUCAGAUGCUUCUAAUGGGGACCAAUCGUCUAGCUGGAAACAAUCGACUGCAGCCAGAGAAGUCAAAGGAACCACUGAUCAAGAUGGGGGCUGGAACAAGGGACCGAGCUCAAACGCACAAGCUGGGGGCUGGGGCAACCAGGGUUCAGGUUGGAACAAAGGAACAGGUUCAGGAUUUGGAGGUGGUACCGGAGAGCAACCAAGUGCUGCUGUUGGAGGUCAAUCAUCUGACUGGAAGCAAUCAAGUGUUGCAAGCGGGGCUCAAUCCUCUAGUUGGAAUCAAUCUGGUGAGGCAAAACAAGGAACUGAUGAAGGUGCAAAACUGACUAAUUCAUGGGGCAAAGCAGCAGCAGCAAGCUCUUGGGGCAAGGGUUCUGAUGGUGGAAGUAGCAAAGGAGGGUGGUGAUCAAAUCACCUCCUCAAAGAAUUAGGGUUUUAACUUAAAUGGUGUAGAUACUGCUUUGUCUUUUGCAGAGCUAGAAGAGUCUUAACUUAAACCCCCGUGUCUAUUGACAAUGGUUGAAAUUUUGUAUGCAUCUCUUUGAACCCCAAUCUUGGCUAAACUAUCCCUUUGUCAACGUUCAAGCUUUUCUAACAAAAAAUGAUGAUUCCACCAUAUCAAAGGGAUUCCUUCCUAAAAUACAGAAUGGAAUGGUUCAGGCUUCAGAAUAUCUACCAGAAAGAAUCUUGCCUGCAACUCCAGCCUAUGUUACGAACUACUCAGUGACUGAAACCAAAACCAACACCUUUAAACAACAUCCACAGCAGAAGAAAGUUGAAAAACUCCUCGAACGACCUGGGCAACCUGUUUGCAUUUAGUUCUCAAGAACAGGGGAUUGUAUGUUUAAAUAUAAUUGCAAAUAUCACCAUCCAAAAAAUCAGACUGCAGUGUCCCCCUCGUGUGCACUGAGUGCCAAGGGCCUUCCUUUGAGAACAGCUCCAGAAUAUCUACCAGAAAAAAGCAUGUCUGCUGCACCUCCACCCUUUGUUAUGAAUCACUCAGUCACUGAGACCAACGCCUAUGAACAACAUCCACAGCAGAAGCAAGUUGAAGAACUCCCAGAACGACCUGGGUGACAUGUUCGCAAUUAUUUCUCAAGAACAGGGGAUUCCAAGCAUAAAUCUAAUUGCAAAUAUCAGUAUCCAAACAAGCACACUGCAGUGUCCCCCUCAUGGGCACUGAUUGACAAGGGCCUCCCUUUGGGACCAGCUUUAGAAUAUCUUCCAGAAAGAAGCAUGCCUACCCCUCCACCAUAUGUUAUGAACUACUCGGUGACUGAAACUAACGCCUAUGAACAACAUCCACAGCAGAAGCAAGUUGAACAACUCCCAGAACGACCUGGGCAACCUGUUUGCAUUUACUUCUCAAGAACAGGGGAUUGUAAGUUUAUAUCUAAUUGCAAAUAUCACCAUCCAAAAAAUCAGACUGCAUUGUUCCCCUCAUGUGCACUGAGUGACAAAGGCCUCCCUUUGAGCCCAGGCUAGAACAUUUGCACACAAUACAGUACCUAUGGCAUUUCCAAUUCAGGGCCAGCUUGUAAAUUUGACCACCCGUCGUUAUCAACUUCCCUUCUGCGACGCGGCGAUGACAAAUGGGGCAGGGAACAUCCGGAAG